RNAcentral lists this ribosomal RNA (1347 nucleotides) under uncultured bacterium. RNAcentral describes it as "bacterial SSU rRNA". It matches the Rfam family "Bacterial small subunit ribosomal RNA", at positions 28 to 1381 of the family's 1533-position model. The record is from RNAcentral.
GACGAGCGCUGGCGGCGUGCUUAACACAUGCGAGUCGAACGAUGAGGCCUAGCUUGCUAGGUGGAUUAGUGGCGAACGGGUGAGUAAUACGUGAGUAACCUACCUUUAACUCUGGGAUAAGCCUGGGAAACUGGGUCUAAUACCGGAUACGACCAAUCUCCGCAUGGGGUGUUGGUGGAAAGCGUUAUGUAGUGGUUAUAGAUGGGCUCACGGCCUAUCAGCUUGUUGGUGAGGUAACGGCUCACCAAGGCGACGACGGGUAGCCGGCCUGAGAGGGUGACCGGCCACACUGGGACUGAGACACGGCCCAGACUCCUACGGGAGGCAGCAGUGGGGAGUAUUGCACAAUGGGCGCAAGCCUGAUGCAGCGACGCCGCGUGAGGGAUGACGGCCUUCGGGUUGUAAACCUCUGUUAGCAGGGAAGAAGAGAGAUUGACGGUACCUGCAGAGAAAGCGCCGGCUAACUACGUGCCAGCAGCCGCGGUAAUACGUAGGGCGCUAGCGUUGUCCGGAAUUAUUGGGCGUAAAGAGCUUGUAGGCGGUUUGUCGCGUCUGCUGUGAAGGCCGGAGCUUAACUCCGUGUAUUGCAGUGGGUACGGGCAGACUAGAGUGCAGUAGGGGAGACUGGAAUUCCUGGUGUAGCGGUGGAAUGCGCAGAUAUCAGGAGGAACACCGAUGGCGAAGGCAGGUCUCUGGGCUGUAACUGACGCUGAGAAGCGAAAGCAUGGGGAGCGAACAGGAUUAGAUACCCUGGUAGUCCAUGCCGUAAACGUUGGGCACUAGGUGUGGGGAACAUUCCACGUUUUCCGCGCCGUAGCUAACGCAUUAAGUGCCCCGCCUGGGGAGUACGGCCGCAAGGCUAAAACUCAAAGAAAUUGACGGGGGCCCGCACAAGCGGCGGAGCAUGCGGAUUAAUUCGAUGCAACGCGAAGAACCUUACCAAGGCUUGACAUAUACUGGAUCGCAUCAGAGAUGGUGUUUCCCUUCGGGGCUGGUAUACAGGUGGUGCAUGGUUGUCGUCAGCUCGUGUCGUGAGAUGUUGGGUUAAGUCCCGCAACGAGCGCAACCCUCGUUCUAUGUUGCCAGCACGUUAUGGUGGGGACUCAUAGGAGACUGCCGGGGUCAACUCGGAGGAAGGUGGGGAUGACGUCAAAUCAUCAUGCCCCUUAUGUCUUGGGCUUCACGCAUGCUACAAUGGCCGGUACAGAGGGUUGCGAUACUGUGAGGUGGAGCUAAUCCCUAAAAGCCGGUCUCAGUUCGGAUUGGGGUCUGCAACUCGACCCCAUGAAGUCGGAGUCGCUAGUAAUCGCAGAUCAGCAACGCUGCGGUGAAUACGUUCCCGGGCCU